This 722-nucleotide ribosomal RNA is filed under the name Ophryoglena sp. 1 TS-2013. RNAcentral's name for it is "LSU rRNA". It matches the Rfam family "Eukaryotic large subunit ribosomal RNA", at positions 163 to 884 of the family's 3401-position model. Lineage: Eukaryota; Ciliophora; Oligohymenophorea; Hymenostomatida. The record is from RNAcentral.
UCCGAAGGAUAGGUACUCGCAUAAAUUCCUUGGAACAGGAUGUCAAAGAGGGUGACAACCCCGUAGUCGGCGAGUAUUCUACCGUAGGAGAGAUUUCGAAGAGUCGGGUUGUUUGGGACUGCAGCCCUAAGUGGGAGAUAAACUUCUUCUAAAGCUAAAUACACACGGGAGACCGAUAGCGAACAAGUACUGCGAAGGAAAGAUGAAAAGAACUUUGAAAAGAGGGUUAAAAGACUUGAAACCGUUGAGAAGGAAGCUGUAGAAGAGCAAUAAACUGGCUUUGUUGUAAACUAUCUGAUGGUACUCACUGCUGUAUCGAUACGCAAGGUCGGUGCGGUGUGAAGAGGUCAUCAAAUGGUGCUACCAAAGUUAGGAGACAAAAUGGUGUUUGGUUGAAGGAGUCACCUGAGAUUCGUAGCAUCAAAAGGAAAACUUCAAUCGGGCAUGAGGGGCCUACGGGCGAUUUUGUCAAAAUGGCUUCUACUGACCCGUCUUGAAACACGGACCAAGGAGUCUAUCAAUUAAGCGAGUGACAGGGUGGAAAAACCCGUCCGCACAACGAAAGUGAGUACAAGGUGCCAACCGCAAGGUGCAGCAUCACCCGACCUCAAGUCUCCGACAAGAGGAUCGAGGAAGAGCUUAAUUGAUAGGACCCGAAAGAUGGUGAACUACGCUUGAAUAGGGUGAAGCCAGGGGAAACUCUGGUGGAAGCUCGUAGCGAU